ACGUAUGGUGCAAGCGUUAUCCGGAUUUACUGGGUGUAAAGGGAGCGCAGGCGGUACGGCAAGUCUGAUGUGAAAUCCUGGGGCUCAACCCCGGUACUGCAUUGGAAACUGUCGGACUAGAGUGUCGGAGGGGUAAGUGGAAUUCCUAGUGUAGCGGUGAAAUGCGUAGAUAUUAGGAGGAACACCAGUGGCGAAGGCGGCUUACUGGACGAUUACUGACGCUGAGGCUCGAAAGCGUGGGGAGCAAACAG
Molecule: ribosomal RNA, 251 nt
Filed under: uncultured bacterium
Lineage: Bacteria
Description: partial 16S ribosomal RNA
Rfam family: Bacterial small subunit ribosomal RNA
Source: RNAcentral